GACGAACGCUGGCGGCGUGCUUAACACAUGCAAGUCGAACGGUGAAGCGCCUUCCUUUUUGGUGGGUGUGGAUGAGUGGCGAACGGGUGAGUAACACGUGAGUAACCUGCCCCCUUCUUCUGGAUAACCGCAUGAAAGUGUGGCUAAUACGGGAUAUUCUGGGUCUGUCGCAUGAUGGGUCUGGGAAAGAUAUUGUUUCGGUGGGGGAUGGGCUCGCGGCCUAUCAGCUUGUUGGUGGGGUGAUGGCCUACCAAGGCGGUGACGGGUAGCCGGCCUGAGAGGGUGGACGGUCACACUGGGACUGAGACACGGCCCAGACUCCUGCGGGAGGCAGCAGUGGGGAAUAUUGCACAAUGGGCGCAAGGCUGAUGCAGCGACGCCGCGUGAGGGAUGGAGGCCUUCGGGUUGUGAACCUCUUUCGCCAGUGAAGCAGGCCUGCCUCGUUUGUGGGUGGGUUGACGGUAGCUGGAGAAGAAGCGCCGGCUAACUACGUG
Molecule: ribosomal RNA, 494 nt
Filed under: uncultured bacterium
Lineage: Bacteria
Description: partial 16S ribosomal RNA
Rfam family: Bacterial small subunit ribosomal RNA
Source: RNAcentral